RNAcentral lists this transfer RNA (97 nucleotides) under Candidatus Bathyarchaeota archaeon. RNAcentral describes it as "tRNA-Ser". It matches the Rfam family "tRNA". Rfam says of the family: Transfer RNA (tRNA) molecules are approximately 80 nucleotides in length. Their secondary structure includes four short double-helical elements and three loops (D, anti-codon, and T loops). Further hydrogen bonds mediate the characteristic L-shaped molecular structure. tRNAs have two regions of fundamental functional importance: the anti-codon, which is responsible for specific mRNA codon recognition, and the 3' end, to which the tRNAs corresponding amino acid is attached (by aminoacyl-tRNA synthetases). tRNAs cope with the degeneracy of the genetic code in two manners: having more than one tRNA (with a specific anti-codon) for a particular amino acid; and 'wobble' base-pairing, i.e. permitting non-standard base-pairing at the 3rd anti-codon position. Lineage: Archaea; Thermoproteati; Candidatus Bathyarchaeota. The record is from RNAcentral.
GCCGGGGUGGCAGAGCGGCAAAGAUUCGGGCCAAUGCGCCGGACUCGAGAUCCGGUUCUCCUCUGGGAGAGCAGGGGUUCAAGUCCCCUCCCCGGCG